RNAcentral lists this transfer RNA (85 nucleotides) under Pleuronectes platessa (European plaice). Its description in RNAcentral is "tRNA-Ser". Lineage: Eukaryota; Metazoa; Chordata; Actinopteri; Pleuronectiformes; Pleuronectidae. The record is from RNAcentral.
GACGAGGGUGGCCGAGUGUCAGAGCGAUGGACUGCUAAUGCCAUUGUGCUCUGCACGCGUGGGGUUCGAAUCCCCAUACUCGUCG